UACGUAGGGCGCAAGCGUUGUCCGGAAUUAUUGGGCGUAAAGAGCUCGUAGGCGGCUUGUCACGUCGGGUGUGAAAGCCCGGGGGCUUAACCCCCGGGUCUGCAUCCGAUACGGGCAGGCUAGAGUGUGGUAGGGGAGGAUCGGAAUUCCUGGUGUAGCGGUGAAAUGCGUUGAGAUCGGAAGGAACGCCCGUGGCGAAAGCGAGUUCCUGGACGUCGGCUGACGCUGAGACGCGAAAGCCAGGGGAGCGAACGGG
This 256-nucleotide ribosomal RNA is filed under the name uncultured bacterium. Its description in RNAcentral is "partial 16S ribosomal RNA". It matches the Rfam family "Bacterial small subunit ribosomal RNA", at positions 524 to 776 of the family's 1533-position model. The record is from RNAcentral.